AGUGAACGCUGGCGGUAGGCCUGACACAUGCAAGUCGAACGGCAGCACAGUAAGAGCUUGCUCUUACGGGUGGCGAGUGGCGGACGGGUGAGGAAUGCAUCGGAAUCUACUUUUUCGUGGGGGAUAACGUAGGGAAACUUACGCUAAUACCGCAUACGACCUACGGGUGAAAGCAGGGGAUCUUCGGACCUUGCGCGAUUGAAUGAGCCGAUGUCGGAUUAGCUAGUUGGCGGGGUAAAGGCCCACCAAGGCGACGAUCCGUAGCUGGUCUGAGAGGAUGAUCAGCCACACUGGAACUGAGACACGGUCCAGACUCCUACGGGAGGCAGCAGUGGGGAAUAUUGGACAAUGGGCGCAAGCCUGAUCCAGCCAUACCGCGUGGGUGAAGAAGGCCUUCGGGUUGUAAAGCCCUUUUGUUGGGAAAGAAAAGCAGCAGGUUAAUACCCCGCUGUUCUGACGGUACCCAAAGAAUAAGCACCGGCUAACUUCGUG
Molecule: ribosomal RNA, 492 nt
Filed under: uncultured bacterium
Lineage: Bacteria
Description: partial 16S ribosomal RNA
Rfam family: Bacterial small subunit ribosomal RNA
Source: RNAcentral